GAUGAAGAACGUAGCAAAAUGCGAUAAGUAAUGUGAAUUGCAGAAUUCAGUGAAUCAUCGAAUCUUUGAACGCACAUUGCGCCCGCCAGUAUUCUGGCGGGCAUGCCUGUUCGAGCGUCAUUUCAACCCUCAAGCACAGCUUGGUGUUGGGACUCGCGUUAAUUCGCGUUCCCCAAAUUGAUUGGCGGUCACGUCGAGCUUCCAUAGCGUAGUAGUAAAACCCUCGUUACUGGUAAUCGUCGCGGCCACGCCGUUAAACCCCAACUUCUGAAUGUUGACCUCGGAUCAGGUAGGAAUACCCGCUGAACUUAAGCAUAUCUAUAAGCGGAGGA
Molecule: unclassified non-coding RNA, 332 nt
Filed under: soil metagenome
Description: partial contains 5.8S ribosomal RNA, internal transcribed spacer 2, and large subunit ribosomal RNA
Rfam family: 5.8S ribosomal RNA (bases 1-120)
Source: RNAcentral